UGCAAAGAAGGUAAACAAAAUUACGAACGUUUGAAAUUACGUAAGAUUUGGGUCUUGUCCACGUGGAUGUAAUGUUUUGCAUCCGGUUUUGUUUAGAGUUCGACUUCUGUAAGAUGUUAGGCUUAAAAAGUUCCACGUGCAUGUUAAAUAAAUGCAUAGAACACCCGGUAGAUUUAUGUUCCAGCAAUCGAUAAUUGGGUCGCAUCCCGUAGCUGCAUCUGCAGAAGUGGAUGAUUUAAGUUGCGGAUAGCGUCGAAUGUAAUCAUAUUUAUAAUAUAUUAGUGAUUGGUGAUUAUACUGUGGUACACCAGUUACUUGGUUCAACUUUCCGCUUUAUUCAGUUCAAUUAAUGAUCGUUCCUCAUUAUGUAUUUAUACUGAUUUAAUAAUUGGCCCAUAAGAGAAAUACAUACAUUUGAAGACAUCUAAAAGCAGUAGUUCGGAUUUUCUUUGUCAAAACUCUUUUAUUUCUUUCUUUUUUAAAUUUAUUUCUAUAUUUUUAACUUCAUUGAUUGUCAUAGUUCCAAAUUUAAUUUGCUCGCUUUGAACAACGAGAUGAUUGAUUUACGGAAAAUAUACUGUAGGUUCCUCCUUCGAGGAUACCACCAAUUUCUUUCCCUAGAUUGAUUCUCCAUUGGACAUAUAUUGGUACAAAUCGAUUGGACGAGGUAACAGCCAAUAGGCGGCCAUUUUUUUCCUCGAUAGAACUAAGGACGACUUCGGUCGAAGAUCCAGGCCUGUGAAUGGAAAUCUACCUGCGAUUUAUUACCUACAGGAAGAGGAUUCUCAAGAGCAACUCUGAGCGAGAGGAGGUCCUAAAGUUCAACACUGUUAAGAUCGAGGAGUAUGUUAGUUUCACUUUAAACCAAGUGCAAUUCCAGCUUAUUAACAAGACCCCUAUGCUGAUAAGGGAAAAGGCUCGCAGUGAUAAGAUUAAAAUAGACAAAGUGUUUGCGCGUUACCUUAAGUGUAGCAAGUGUAAAUCCCAAAAGAACAUUGAGUUGACGGUCGUUAUAGACGUUGAUAAAGACGUGAGAUUGGACCGCAGUAAAUUGACCGUUGAAGUAAGCAACAAAUGUCCUUUGGAUGUAAAAUUGAUAGAACUGGAAAUCAAGCAAGGAAAUUUGAAGAGGAACGUAAGGAAACGUUACUAAACUUGAAAGUGCUUCGUGUACACAAGUGUAACAACCAUGGGUCAUAAGAAACUUCAAUUGAAAUCGCCGACCCCUUUUCAAAUUACCAGUUUUCAACCAACCAAUGCUUUAACUUUUCUAGAAGAUCUCUUCUUCAACGAAGUUACAUCCAUUUCCCCAGUCAAUAAAGGCACAAUCCCACCCAAACCUUCAACAUUUAAACGACAAUUCGCUCAAGGAUCGCUGGUUAAAAGUAAACUUUGUGCGCAGUUUGAAAGGCAUUUAAGAAUUGCAUAAACAAUAUCGGUUGAACUAUAAUCGUUGAAUGAAAUUUUGACUUUCAAUUUGUUGCUUCAGUGUAAAACCCUUGUUCUUGCAUUACUUUGAAACAAAAUCUUACUUUUACCUUAAUAAGUGAACUGGAAAUUCUUCAUUAAGUGAACUAAAUCUACCUGACAAAGUGAACUAAAUCUACCUGACAACGUGAACUAAUUCUACCUGACUAAUUAAACAUCGGAAACAAUUAUAAACUUCCUCCGUAAACCAAUUAAAACUUGAACUUUAUAGCAACAAUUCAAACAUUUUAUUGAGAACUAAAUAAUAUUGCUGAGUUUAGUGAAAUUUCCCCUUGAACAUUGAAUCAAAGAUUUAAGAACUUAAGUACUUAAAAAAAGUGAAAUAUUGGACGCUACAUAUAGCAAUUAAAUAUUUCAGUGUACUUGGACCUAUUUCAGAAAGUUUGGAACAAAAUACUACAACUAUAAGGAAAUGAUGACAUAAAUUCAAGAUUGUUUUUAGAGACGAAAACUUCCCACCUGCCCCCCCAAAACAUCGUGAAAUCUUCUCAAAGAUCUAAUCCCUCCACUCUUAGAAUUCUACAAAGAUUCUACAGCGUCCCAAGAACUCACAUCGUCUUUAAAAGUUUCCAGUUUCUUCAGUAAAAAGCGUACUUUGUAUGUUCAAGAAAUUUGACAUUUGCUAAGACAUCAGUUUAAAAAUCAAAUAUGUUUGAAGAACUUAUAAACUUGGUUGUUAUUCAUUUCCGGAAUUGCCUAGGUCAAAUGUACGCCAUACUGGAUGUUAUAAAGCUCAUAUAUCAAGAAAUUUUCGAACUUAUUGGAGGUUUGAGACUGCUAUAAAUAUACGCACCGAUUUCUACUGACUAAUUGAGUAAACUAGAUCAUCGACAAAAUGUGGCACAGAUUACUAAAGAAAACCACCAAACUAUUAUCCGACACGUUGGAUUAUAUCGUGGAUUUUGUGGCCAACCAACAAAUUCAAAAUUGUGCAACAAGAUUUUACAUCUUCACCUACUGGACAUUAUCUUAAAAAAAAACAUCUUCAACCAUGUCCAAUUCACAAUGAAUUAUAAUCCCACCAGAUGAGAUGCGAAAUAUCAAAAUCUAUUUAAAAAAAUGAAUAUUUUUGAUAUCAUCUAAAUUUUUUUUGACUGAACAACGCUAUUUAAGAGACUGACGAUACAACUUAUUAAAGCUCAAAUAAGUGAUUAUUUACUGAAGAUUACCUGUGAGGAUUUUCAACGGUUAUAGGAUUAAUAUAACGACAAGAAAGUGAUGGAUAAGACUGAUAUCUAACGCAGCUUCAAGAGAGAAUUGCAGCUGGACUCUUCAGAACUAUAGUGCGGCACGUUUAGAUGGUUAAAGUAAGAACGAUCAUAAUUGUGCUUUGAAAAGAAGAAGAAAGAAAGACUCAUACAAAAUGAACUGCAGAUCUAUAUUGUUUUGCUUAAUAUUAGCAAUGUUCAUAAUUGAUCUUAAGAAUUGUUUAAAGAUUAUAGUAAAAAGGUGCUCAAAAGUAUUUAUAUCACAGUGCAAAGUGUUGGAAAUCACAGAAUUCUUGAUGCACCAUUUAAGAACAUGUGAUAUCAUUUUUGGGGACGGUUUGCCUCGAAACUUAUAAAUUUGAUCAAUUAAUGGUAUAAAGCUAAGAAAGCGUACUUUCAUAAAAAUUAUUUUUAUGUUCCACCGAAUCUUAUCAAAUGACAACAAACGAUUUUCUUCCAUAUAUUAUACAUAUCGGUGUAAAUUCAAUUGCGAAUAUAAAUGUUUGAACUAUGCAUUACAAUGUAUAGUGUCAUAUUUAUAAUGUUUGUGCUUGACUUAAUCAAGUGCUUGAUGAUUAUAUACAGCCUAAAAUGGACAUCAAAAAUGUUUAUCUUAGUGUGCAAAAUGUUGGAAGAGAUUGUUUCAUAUUUGAUGGAGCCAGUAAUAGAUGCUAGAGUAUACUAACAUGUAGAACUCUAUACUACAAAUUGAUAUUCAUAAUUGAUCAACCGCACAUCUUUCAGACAAAAAUUAAAUGUGCAUGAUUUUCUUGUAAUUUCAAUUAAAAAAAACAUAGUUAUAUCACGUAUUUACAAUGUUGGUCCAAUUUGUCAAGUGUGUAACAACCGUUUACAAGGUAAAAUGGUUUUCAAAUAUGUUCAUACUUCUGUUCAAAAUUCUAAAAGAGUUUAUUUCAUACUUAAUGGAAUUAACGAUGAACUAAAACCUAAAAUCUAGCUACCAGUCCAGCGUCAUGUGGUAUCUUGCUUAUACAAGCAGUGCCACGUGGCGCAUAAAAAUGCGUUUAAUAAUGUAAAAUCAAAAUUUAUAAUAACAUUGAAAAAUUCAUUUACAGUUAUCGUC
Nicrophorus vespilloides is the source of this 3780-nucleotide long non-coding RNA. RefSeq lists it as uncharacterized. The record is from RefSeq and is a predicted model, not a curated record. NCBI's taxonomy places the organism in Eukaryota, Metazoa, Arthropoda, Insecta, Coleoptera, Silphidae. The transcript is spliced from 8 exons.